UACAGAGGUCUCAAGCGUUGUUCGGAUUCAUUGGGCGUAAAGGGUGCGUAGGCGGCGCGGUAAGUCGGGUGUGAAAUUUCGAGGCUUGACUUCGAAACUGCAUUCGAUACUGCCGUGCUUGAGGACUGGAGAGGUGACUGGAAUUUACGGUGUAGCGGUGAAAUGCGUAGAUAUCGUAAGGAAGACCAGUGGCGAAGGCGGGUCUCUGGACAGUUCCUGACGCUGAGGCACGAAGGCCAGGGGAGCAAACGGG
RNAcentral lists this ribosomal RNA (253 nucleotides) under uncultured bacterium. Its description in RNAcentral is "partial 16S ribosomal RNA". It matches the Rfam family "Bacterial small subunit ribosomal RNA", at positions 524 to 776 of the family's 1533-position model. The record is from RNAcentral.